This 195-nucleotide unclassified non-coding RNA is filed under the name uncultured Cladophialophora. Its description in RNAcentral is "sequence contains ITS1". The record is from RNAcentral. Lineage: Eukaryota; Fungi; Ascomycota; Eurotiomycetes; Chaetothyriales; Herpotrichiellaceae.
ACGAGUUAGGGUCUUCUAGGCCCGACCUCCCAACCCUUUGUUUACUGAACCAUUGUUGCCUCGGUGGGUCCGUCUUACGACCGCCGGGGGAUCGCCGCGAGGCGCCCCCUGGCCAGCGCCCACCGAUAGCCCAACCUUUAAAACCCUUUAUGAAUCGUGUCUCAUGUCUAAAUUUAUGAUUAAACAAUCAAAACA